RNAcentral lists this ribosomal RNA (262 nucleotides) under uncultured archaeon. RNAcentral's name for it is "partial 16S ribosomal RNA". It matches the Rfam family "Archaeal small subunit ribosomal RNA", at positions 748 to 1009 of the family's 1478-position model. The record is from RNAcentral.
AGGGUGUAAACGCUGCGGGCUUGGUGUUGGGGGUCCUUAGUGGGCGCCCAGUGCCGGAGAGAAGUUGUUAAGCCUGCUGCUUGGGGAGUAUGUCCGCAAGGAUGAAACUUAAAGGAAUUGGCGGGGGGAGCACCACAACGGGUGGAGCCUGCGGUUUAAUCGGACUCAACGCCGGGAAUCUCACCGGAUAAGACAGCUGAAUGAUAGUCGGGAUGAAGACUCUACUUGACUAGCUGAGAGGAGGUGCAUGGCGUAGACGUCU